GACGAACGCUGGCGGCGUGCCUAAUACAUGCAAGUCGAACGCACUCUCGUUUAGAUUGAAGGAGCUUGCUCCUGAUUGAUAAACAUUUGAGUGAGUGGCGGACGGGUGAGUAACACGUGGGUAACCUGCCCUAAAGUGGGGGAUAACAUUUGGAAACAGAUGCUAAUACCGCAUAAAACCUAACACCGCAUGGUGUAGGGUUGAAAGAUGGUUUCGGCUAUCACUUUAGGAUGGACCCGCGGUGCAUUAGUAGUUGGUGAGGUAAAGGCUCACCAAGACCGUGAUGCAUAGCCGACCUGAGAGGGUAAUCGGCCACACUGGGACUGAGACACGGCCCAGACUCCUACGGAGGCAGCAGUAGGGAAUCUUCCACAAUGGACGAAAGUCUGAUGAGCAACGCCGCGUGACGUGAAGAAGGUUUUACGGAUCGUAAAACUCUGUUAGUUGGAGAAGAAUGUAUCUGAUAGUAACU
RNAcentral lists this ribosomal RNA (472 nucleotides) under uncultured bacterium. RNAcentral describes it as "bacterial SSU rRNA". It matches the Rfam family "Bacterial small subunit ribosomal RNA", at positions 28 to 474 of the family's 1533-position model. The record is from RNAcentral.